AAUAUGUUUUUGCUCAAAAAUGAGUAUUCACUACCAGGGACACAGAAAUAAAAUAUGAAUGGUUUUACUGAUAGACAAUAAAUCCCAGCUUUAUGCAGCUUUGAGUUUAAUCUUCAAUAUUAGAGAUCUCUUUAAAUGAUCUUAUGUCUUUGAAUGUGGAAGAGUGUAAUGGAUUAUUGUGUAAUCCUAUAUUUGUCUCUUUAACCACAGAAAGCAGCUUUUUAAGGACAGAACCGGUAUCACUGCUGGACUGAUAUAAAAUCAGGAAACGUCAGACAUGGAUUCAAAAACGUCUGAGGAUCACAGACCAGCUUCACCUACACCAACCAGUAUCUCAAUGAGAAGUGACCGUUCCAGGGACCUUGAUGUAAAAUUCAAAGGAGGAGAAACCAGAAUGUCUGAGGAUGACAGACCAGCUUCACCUACACCAACCAGUAUCUCAAUGAGAAGUGACCACUCUGGCUUUUAUGACAUAGACUUCAAAGAAGA
Poecilia latipinna (sailfin molly) is the source of this 489-nucleotide long non-coding RNA. RefSeq lists it as uncharacterized. The transcript has 3 exons. The record is from RefSeq and is a predicted model, not a curated record. NCBI's taxonomy places the organism in Eukaryota, Metazoa, Chordata, Actinopteri, Cyprinodontiformes, Poeciliidae.